UAGAGCGGCGGACGGGUGAGUAACACGUGGACAAUCUCGCCCCCCGGCCGGGAUAGCCCAGGGAAACCUGGAUUAAUACCGGAUGAGACGGGACCCGCGAAGGCGGGACCCGGGAAAGGCGCUGCGGCGCCGCCGGGGGAUGAGUCUGCGUCCCAUUAGCUAGACGGCGGGGUAACGGCCCACCGUGGCGACGAUGGGUAGCCGGCCUGAGAGGGUGGACGGCCACAUUGGAACUGAGACACGGUCCAGACUCCUACGGGAGGCAGCAGUGGGGGAUAUUGCACAAUGGGCGCAAGCCUGAUGCAGCGAACCGCCGCGUGAGUGAAGAAGUAUUUCGGUAUGUAAAGCUCUAUCAGCAGGGAAGAAAGGCCCGCAAGGGAGAUGACGGUACCUGACUAAGAACGCCCCGGCUAACUACGUGCCAGCCGCCGC
Molecule: ribosomal RNA, 432 nt
Filed under: uncultured bacterium
Lineage: Bacteria
Description: bacterial SSU rRNA
Rfam family: Bacterial small subunit ribosomal RNA
Source: RNAcentral